AAUCAACGCUGGCGGCGUGCCUAACACAUGCAAGUCGAACGCGAAAGCCCCUUCGGGGGUAAGUAGAGUGGCGUCCGGGUGAGUAACACGUGGGUAAUCUACCUUCGGGUGGGGAAUAACUCAGGGAAACUUGAGCUAAUACCGCAUAAUGCAGCGGCACCUAAUGGUGAUUAGUUGUUAAAGCGGGGGAUCGCAAGACCUCGCGCCUGAAGAGGAGCCUGCGGCAGAUUAGCAGUUGGUGAGGUAAUGGCUCACCAAGGCUUCGAUCUGUAGCUGGUCUGAGAGGACGGCCAGCCACACUGGGCACUGACACACGGGGCCAGACUCCUACGGGAGGCAGCAGUGGGGAAUUUUUGGGCAAUGGGCGAAAGCCUGACCCAGCAACGCCGCGUGAGGGAGGAAAUCCUUCGGGAUGUAAACCUCACAAGC
This 429-nucleotide ribosomal RNA is filed under the name uncultured bacterium. RNAcentral describes it as "bacterial SSU rRNA". It matches the Rfam family "Bacterial small subunit ribosomal RNA", at positions 32 to 439 of the family's 1533-position model. The record is from RNAcentral.